RNAcentral lists this ribosomal RNA (421 nucleotides) under uncultured bacterium. Its description in RNAcentral is "bacterial SSU rRNA". It matches the Rfam family "Bacterial small subunit ribosomal RNA", at positions 29 to 440 of the family's 1533-position model. The record is from RNAcentral.
AACGAACGCUGGCGGCGGGCCUCAUACAUGCAAGUCGAGCGCGAAAGUCCGCAAGGAUGAGUAAAGCGGCGCACGGGUGAGUAACACGUGGAUAAUCUACCCUUUGGAUUGGAAUAACCUGUCGAAAGACGGGCUAAUGCCGAGUAAGCUUACGAGUUCGUGAAGUUCUUGUAAGGAAAGAUGGCGCAAGCUAUCGCCGAUGGAUGAGUCUGCGUCCCAUUAGUUAGUUGGUGGGGUAAUGGCUUACCAAGACUAUGAUGGGUACCUGGUCUGAGAGGAUGACCAGGCACACUGGAACUGAAACACGGUCCAGACUCCUACGGGAGGCAGCAGUAGGGAAUAUUGCGCAAUGGACGAAAGUCUGACGCAACCACGCCGCGUGAGUGAGGAAGGCCUUCGGGUUGGUUAAAGGACUACUGUC